RNAcentral lists this ribosomal RNA (253 nucleotides) under uncultured bacterium. RNAcentral's name for it is "partial 16S ribosomal RNA". It matches the Rfam family "Bacterial small subunit ribosomal RNA", at positions 524 to 776 of the family's 1533-position model. The record is from RNAcentral.
UACAGAGGUCCCAAGCGUUGUUCGGAUUCACUGGGCGUAAAGGGUGCGUAGGUGGCUUGGUAAGUUUGAUGUGAAAUCUCCGGGCUUAACCCGGAAAAGGCAUUGAAUACUGUUGAGCUGGAGGUUUGGAGGGGGGACUGGAAUUCUCGGUGUAGCAGUGAAAUGCGUAGAUAUCGAGAGGAACACCAGUGGCGAAGGCGAGUCCCUGGACAACACCUGACACUGAGGCACGAAAGCCGGGGGAGCAAACAGG